GAUGAACGCUGGCGGCGUGCCUAAUACAUGCAAGUCGAGCGAACAGACGAGGAGCUUGCUCCUCUGACGUUAGCGGCGGACGGGUGAGUAACACGUGGAUAACCUACCUAUAAGACUGGGAUAACUUCGGGAAACCGGAGCUAAUACCGGAUAAUAUUUUGAACCGCAUGGUUCAAUAGUGAAAGACGGUGUUGCUGUCACUUAUAGAUGGAUCCGCGCCGCAUUAGCUAGUUGGUAAGGUAACGGCUUACCAAGGCAACGAUGCGUAGCCGACCUGAGAGGGUGAUCGGCCAGACUGGAACUGAGACACGGUCCAGACUCCUACGGGAGGCAGCAGUAGGGACUCUUCCGCAAUGGGCGAAAGCUUGACGGAGCAACGCCGCGUGAGUGAUGAAGGUCUUCGGAUCGUAAAACUCUGUUAUUAGGGAAGAACAAAUGUGUAAGUAACUGUGCACAUCUUGACGGUACCUAAUCAGAAAGCCACGGCUAACUACGUG
RNAcentral lists this ribosomal RNA (497 nucleotides) under uncultured bacterium. RNAcentral describes it as "partial 16S ribosomal RNA". It matches the Rfam family "Bacterial small subunit ribosomal RNA", at positions 28 to 507 of the family's 1533-position model. The record is from RNAcentral.